This 4371-nucleotide unclassified non-coding RNA is filed under the name Hevea brasiliensis (rubber tree). The record is from RNAcentral. Lineage: Eukaryota; Viridiplantae; Streptophyta; Magnoliopsida; Malpighiales; Euphorbiaceae.
AAAAAAACCAAACCCUACGACCCACGUUCUCAACGGUUGGUAACCGUCGAUAACUGCUCUGAAAUCAGUCCAAUCGAUAAGCAUCAUCACUUUCAAAGGUUUAAUCUUUCCAUGAAAAUGCGAGUUUCAGGUUCUUUCUCUCUCAAUCAAUUAUGGCAAUUCAAGUUCGCUUAUGUAGUACUCUCAUUUCCCUCCUGGGUUUCCUUUCCCUCUCCUCCCUUGCAUUUGAAUCAUCAACCUCAGAUGAAGCACAAGUUCCAAAUUUCGCUUUCAGUUGGUUAAAUGACAACAACAAAUUCCAAGCUGGGGAUACAGCAGCCAUAAAGAUCAUAGUACUGGGAGAGUUUGACAGUAAAGGAAAUGUUUCACUUGAUAAAAGUGCUUUCAAUCCUACCCUUACAGUUAAUGGGAAGAGAGGAAAUAAUUCUUUUGUGUCUGGGGUUUUCCUGGAUACUGCAGGGGAUACCAGUACCUGGAGAAUUCUCUUCACUCCAAUCAGGGUUGGGGUUUUUAAUGUCUUUAUCAAUGAUGACUCUUUCAAAGUAUUUGAUUCAUCUCUCCAUUUCGAAACUGUGCCAGGUCCUAAUAUGCAAUUUUUAGCAUUUAACUUCUAUUUUCGCGUCUAAGGUAGAACUUGAUUUAUGAUAAACGUUUUCCCUGGGAAUGAUUAGUAAGUGAAGGCAAUUCGUUAUUUUAAUUAUUUUGGCUUUACUUGCUGUUUUUUAAUUAAGGAAAGCUGAAUUUUUUUUGCAAGCAUAUGUAAAAUGUAAUCAUGUUAAAUUAUUGGUGAAGUGCUAUUGAUUGUUUUAACACUUGUGCUAUUGCUCAGUAUUAUAAUGCUUUGCAAAUCAUCUCUUUGUGAAAUGUUAUUAUUGACUGAUAUAUAUUUUUCAAGGACUUUUAUAUUGUCAAGUACAUGUAAAGAUGCAUACUAACCGCAGUUGCUAUUUCCCAUUCAAGGUAAAAUUUAUCCAUCUGUCUGCAUAGCUUCAUGGAUGGGAUUUUUAAACGAGUUUGAAGCUGGGGAGAGAGCUACAGUUUUUAUUGCUCCUAGAGAUGCAUUUGGGAAUAAUGUUUCUUCAACUCGUGAAGAAUUGCAUCCCUAUAAUUUUACAUUGUGUGCACUUUAUGCAAAUGGUUCCCUUGCUAAUGUGCUAAACAUCACUCAUAUUGGCUGGAAUGAGCUUGGUUUUAUUAACAUUGAGUUUAUUGUGGCAAAAGCUGGAAACCUUCUAUUGCAUGUGAAAGGAGGAAAUCAAACCUUGAAUGGCUGUCCACUUCCAUUGAAGGUGAAUCCAGGGCCUCUGGAUGUUUCCAAUUGCCUGCCAAAAUGGAAGUUUGAGACAAACGCUUGGCAAAUAUUUUCCAAAAUGGAAAUUUUUAUUCAUCAACAAGAUCAGUAUGGGAAUCUUGUUUCUGGAUUAUACGAAUUUGAUGCUGAUAUUAUUGAAAAAGAUACAAAUCUGUCUAUACCUGUUGCAGAUUUGUACUUUGAAGACAUGGUACCAGGAAUACAGUUAUUCUCUUUCAGUCUAUUGGAACCAGGAAACUUCUUGCUCACUAUAUCUAAUUUGAAGCAUAAUAGAAGCAUCUCCAAUAUGCCAUUUGCUUAUACUGUCUUUAUAGGUUAUUGUGAUGGAUCAGCCAGCAUUGUCAACGGAUCCGGUUUAAAUGAUUCCGUUGCUGGUGAAAUUGCACAGUUUUCGGUUUAUUUGAUUGACAUUUAUCAAUAUCCUGCUUUUGUUGAACUAGGAAGUAUUAAAGUGCAGAUUGUUAGGGAGAAUGAUUCCUAUAAUGUGCAGCCAAGCAUCUUUCCAAUCAUCCAUGGUAUCUGCUAUUUAUAAUUUCUUCCCUUUUGAUGAACAAUUUUAGCAGAGGUUCAUGAGGACUUGAGGAGGCAUGCAUCUCUUGAAUAGGGAAUGGACCUGCUCAAGAACUCAGCUAUGCUACUAUCAGCCAAACAGAAAUUUCUCCUGCACCAUCUGAUGUUCCAAGGAACAUUUUUGCUGGACACUCGGAAGUUCUGGUCAGUGCUUUUAAUGUGAUUUAUACUGCUGAGAAGAGUGGAAUCUAUGAAAUAUAUGUAUUUUGUGGAAAUAUUUUACUGAGUGGUCACUCAUUCAGAAAGGAAGUUAGAGCAGGUGAGGUUAAUGUAUCUCUUUCAAAAGUUGUGAAAUUUGCUCCCAAGGUGCCAAAGCUUACUGAGAAUGAAAUAUGGGUCCAAUUGAUGGACACAUUUUCUAAUCCUGUCCUGUCCCAACAGUCACUGCUGAAACUAGAGAUUGCUUCAGUCAACAGGUCUGGUUUUUCGACUGGGAUGUUUGUAGAUAAUGAUGAUGGGUCAUAUACUUGUCAAUAUAUGGCUAGAGAUGUUGGAACCUAUGAGAUGUGUGUUUCAUUUGAUGGCAUACGUUUCUCACCGUGCCCUUUUGGGGUCAAUGUGUAUGGUGGUGAAUAUUUUCCUAAAGCUUAUGAUGAUAAAAUUUCUGUGUGGGAGGAUGAGUCUAUUGCUUUUGAUGUUUUAGCAAAUGAUUACUUUGCUGGACACAAUGCAAGCAUUGUUGAAUUCUUGAAACCAGAUUAUGGUUCACUUUUACAGGAUGGACAUUUCUUUAGAUAUACCCCCUAUCAAAAUUAUUAUGGGAGUGACUCUUUUAUGUAUACAAUAUCGGAUGUAAAUGGCAAUCUUGCUUCUGCUGCUGUAAACAUUUCUGUUCUUAAUAUCCCACCCCAGUUUAUUUCAUCUCCGAGUCAACUGCAAGCAACUGAGGACAUGAUAAGCCCCAGAUAUGGUGGUUUCUCAGGGUUUGAGAUUAGGUCUUCUGAUCCAAUGGAGAACAUUUCUGUCACUCUUAGAGCAGACUCUGGAACUCUGUUUUUGUCUCCUAUGCUGAUGCAAUUUUGGCAUCCAAUUUGGGGGGAAUUUUCUGUCAAGAAAGAAGAUGAUGAAGCAAAGAGUUUGACAUUAGAGGGGUCUGUAGAUUUGAUGAAUCUAGCACUUCAGUCAAUUCAAUACCUCGGAAAUGAUAAUUUCAGUGGUGAUGAUACUGUUCGUGUUUCUGCCGGCAACAAGAAUGGGAUAAAUGAUUUAGCAGUUCCAGCUUUUGUGGAACCUAUCAAUGAUCCUCCAUUUAUUAACGUUCCCAAAUUUAUCACAUUGAAGGGCAAUGAGGAUGAGUCACUGAUCUUUAACAAAGCUAGAGACAAGUUUGAGUUUUGUGUUGGAGAUCCAGAUCUUCUUAACUUCCCUGGCAAAGAGUCUCGCUUUAUAGUCGCGUUUUCUGUUGAAGUUGAUGAUGGAUUUUUGGUAACCAGCCUACCAGCUGAACUUAUAGAUACAACUGAACUGAGGCUAAUGAAUAGCUAUCAAUGGCAACCUCUUCAGACAUAUGUUACUAUCUCAAAGCGUUUUAUGGUCAAAGCUAAAGGAAUCAGAUUUCAGGGGACAAUUAUUGAUUGCAACGUUGUCAUGCAACAACUAUCAUAUCAUGGUGGAGAAAAUGGUGCUGUUUUGACGCUGAAAUUAAAUGAUAUGGGACAUUAUGGUUGUUAUUCAGAUUGUGCUGACAAUAUUUCAAUGCCUUUACAUGUCAAGGCUUCUGUAAAUCUUAUCCGAAAAAGGCCAAUGAGUUCAUUGGCAGUUCAUACCCUUGGAUCAGCUGUCAUUAUUGAAUUUCUUAUGGUUCUCUCUUUUGGAGUAGUACUUCUAUUCUUCACAUGCAAAUGUGCAAUUCUUCUUGUGAAUGAAAGAAGCAGCUGCAAAUUCCAAAACUCUAAACAGUCUGGUUUGCGAAAUUUUCAGAAGGAAUCUUCAAGUGUUGAUUUAUCUGAGAAAACAACUGAAUUCACUGGUGGUUGUUCUCGACUUCUCUCACUCUUCCAUCGACCUUCGAACUUUCGACAGCGGCGACUAGCUAAUGACAGGACAUUUUGGAAAUGGAUUCAUAGCUAGGGUAGAGAAACGAGUUUGAGCUUUUCUUACACAUUUUGGCUUCACUAACAAACAUUUUUUUUGCGAAUAUGCAGCUCUUGCCGUCACUUUGGAGUCACAGAAUCUGGCCUGGAUGUACAUAGCCCCUCUCAAUCUACUAGUGGUCACUGUCUAAAAAACUCUGCCUAGUUUUAUGCCACUUGCUAUUGAGAAGGUUUCAUAAACAAGAAGUUGAUCUAUUGUGUGAAAUUAUAAACCAUGCGAUGUAGACAUUGGAGGAAUUGAGAAGACAUUAGAUUGUUUUACUGCUGUUAUUGAAACAUGUCUAUUCCUUACUCUGCAUGCAAAGAUUUGCAGAUUCUGAAGAUGCUUUAACUCAAAUAAGUGUUUUUUUAUUUUUUUUUCCAAACUCUUUUGUUCAUAUACUCGAGUUUCCUGUG